Non-coding RNA from Suricata suricatta (meerkat), 73 nucleotides. The record is from the annotation of a RefSeq genome assembly. NCBI's taxonomy places the organism in Eukaryota, Metazoa, Chordata, Mammalia, Carnivora, Herpestidae.
ACCUGGUUGGCUCAGUCAGUAGAGCGUGGGACUCUUGAUCUCAGCGUUGUGGGUUCGAGCCCCACAUUAGGUG